GUCUACAACCAUGCCACCCUGGACAAGCUCGAUGUCUGAUCCCAGAAGCUAAGCAGGGUUAGGCCUGGUUAGUACUUAGAUGGGAGACCACCUAGGAAGACUAGGUGCCGUAGGCA
This 116-nucleotide ribosomal RNA is filed under the name Pteropus alecto (black flying fox). Lineage: Eukaryota; Metazoa; Chordata; Mammalia; Chiroptera; Pteropodidae. The record is from RNAcentral.